RNAcentral lists this unclassified non-coding RNA (233 nucleotides) under plant metagenome. RNAcentral describes it as "partial contains small subunit ribosomal RNA, internal transcribed spacer 1, and 5.8S ribosomal RNA". The record is from RNAcentral.
UUUCCGUAGGUGAACCUGCGGAAGGAUCAUUACUGAGUGAGGGCCCUCUGGGUCCAACCUCCCACUCGUGUUUAUUAUACCUUGUUGCUUCGGUGAGCCCGCCUCACGGCCGCCGGGGGGCAUCUGCCCCCGGGCCCGCGCCCACCGAAGACACCUAGAACUCUGUAUGAAGAUUGCAGUCUGAGCAAAAACUAAAUAAGUUAAAACUUUCAACAACGGAUCUCUUGGUUCCG